This 966-nucleotide ribosomal RNA is filed under the name bacterium endosymbiont of Donacia caerulea. RNAcentral describes it as "bacterial SSU rRNA". It matches the Rfam family "Bacterial small subunit ribosomal RNA", at positions 441 to 1400 of the family's 1533-position model. The record is from RNAcentral.
AGGAAAGAAAAGAUAAAAUCUAAUAUAUUUUAUCAUUGACGUUACUUGUAAAAGAAGCACCGGCUAACUCCGUGCCAGCAGCCGCGGUAAUACGGAGGGUGCUAGCGUUAAUCGGAAUUACUGGGCGUAAAGAGCACGUAGGCGGUUAAUUAAGUCAGAUGUGAAAUCCCUAAGCUUAACUUAGGAACUGCAUUUGAAACUAAUUAACUUGAGUUUCGUAGAGGGGGGUAGAAUUCCAGGUGUAGCGGUGAAAUGCGUAGAUAUCUGGAGGAAUACCAGUGGCGAAGGCGACCCCCUGGACGAAUACUGACGCUCAGGUGCGAAAGCAUGGGGAGCAAACAGGAUUAGAUACCCUGGUAGUCCAUGCCGUAAACGAUGUCGACUUGAAGGUUGUAAGUUUAACUUAUAGCUUUCGUAGCUAACGCGUUAAGUCGACCGCCUGGGGAGUACGACCGCAAGGUUAAAACUCAAAUGAAUUGACGGGGGCCCGCACAAGCGGUGGAGCAUGUGGUUUAAUUCGAUGCAACGCGAAAAACCUUACCUGGUCUUGACAUCCAUGGAAUUUAAUAGAAAUAUUUUAGUGCCUUCGGGAACCAUGAGACAGGUGCUGCAUGGCUGUCGUCAGCUCGUGUUGUGAAAUGUUGGGUUAAGUCCCGCAACGAGCGCAACCCUUAUCCUUUGUUGCCAUCAGCUAGGCUGGGAACUCAAAGGAGACUGCCGGUGAUAAACCGGAGGAAGGUGAGGACGACGUCAAGUCAUCAUGGCCCUUACGACCAGGGCUACACACGUGCUACAAUGGUAUAUACAAAGGGAAGCAUCCUCGCAAGAGUAAGCGGAUCUCACAAAAUAUAUCUUAGUUCGGAUUGGAGUCUGCAACUCGACUCUAUGAAGUCGGAAUCGCUAGUAAUCGUAGAUCAGAAUGCUACGGUGAAUACGUUCCCGGGCCUUGUACACACCGCCCGUCAC